GGGGAUAUAAUUCAAUUGAUAGAAUAUAUGUUUUGCACACAUAAAGUUGUUGGUUCGAGUCCAACUAUCUCCA
This 73-nucleotide transfer RNA is filed under the name Cyanidioschyzon merolae. It matches the Rfam family "tRNA". Rfam says of the family: Transfer RNA (tRNA) molecules are approximately 80 nucleotides in length. Their secondary structure includes four short double-helical elements and three loops (D, anti-codon, and T loops). Further hydrogen bonds mediate the characteristic L-shaped molecular structure. tRNAs have two regions of fundamental functional importance: the anti-codon, which is responsible for specific mRNA codon recognition, and the 3' end, to which the tRNAs corresponding amino acid is attached (by aminoacyl-tRNA synthetases). tRNAs cope with the degeneracy of the genetic code in two manners: having more than one tRNA (with a specific anti-codon) for a particular amino acid; and 'wobble' base-pairing, i.e. permitting non-standard base-pairing at the 3rd anti-codon position. Lineage: Eukaryota; Rhodophyta; Bangiophyceae; Cyanidiales; Cyanidiaceae. The record is from RNAcentral.